RNAcentral lists this ribosomal RNA (472 nucleotides) under uncultured bacterium. Its description in RNAcentral is "bacterial SSU rRNA". It matches the Rfam family "Bacterial small subunit ribosomal RNA", at positions 328 to 793 of the family's 1533-position model. The record is from RNAcentral.
GAAGAGCACUCCUACGGGAGGCAGCAUGGGGGAAUAUUGCACAAUGGGCGCAAGCCUGAUGCAGCCAUGCCGCGUGUAUGAAGAAGGCCUUCGGGUUGUAAAGUACUUUCAGCAGUGAGGAAGGUGGAUAUGUUAAUAGCAUAUUCAUUUGACGUUAGCUGCAGAAGAAGCACCGGCUAACUCCGUGCCAGCAGCCGCGGUAAUACGGAGGGUGCGAGCGUUAAUCGGAAUUACUGGGCGUAAAGCGCAUGCAGGUGGUUUGUUAAGUCAGAUGUGAAAGCCCGGGGCUCAACCUCGGAAUUGCAUUUGAAACUGGCAAACUAGAGUACUGUAGAGGGGGUAGAAUUUCAGGUGUAGCGGUGAAAUGCGUAGAGAUCUGAAGGAAUACCGGUGGCGAAGGCGCCCCCCUGGACAGAUACUGACACUCAGAUGCGAAAGCGUGGGGAGCAAACAGGAUUGGAUACCCUGGUAG